RNAcentral lists this ribosomal RNA (508 nucleotides) under uncultured bacterium. RNAcentral describes it as "partial 16S ribosomal RNA". It matches the Rfam family "Bacterial small subunit ribosomal RNA", at positions 28 to 507 of the family's 1533-position model. The record is from RNAcentral.
GACGAACGCUGGCGGCGUGCCUAAUACAUGCAAGUCGAACGCUUCUUUCCUCCCGAGUGCUUGCACUCAAUUGGAAAGAGGAGUGGCGGACGGGUGAGUAACACGUGGGUGACCUACCCAUCAGAGGGGGAUGACACUUGGAAACAGGUGCUAAUACCGCAUAACAGUUUAUGCCGCAUGGCAUAAGAGUGAAAGGCGCUUUCGGGUGUCGUUGAUGGAUGGACCCGCGGUGCAUUAGCUAGUUGGUGAGGUAACGGCUCACCAAGGCCACGAUGCAUAGCCGACCUGAGAGGGUGAUCGGCCACACUGGGACUGAGACACGGCCCAGACUCCUACGGGAGGCAGCAGUAGGGAAUCUUCGGCAAUGGACGAAAGUCUGACCGAGCAACGCCGCGUGAGUGAAGAAGGUUUUCGGAUCGUAAAACUCUGUUGUUAGAGAAGAACAAGGACGUUAGUAACUGAACGUCCCCUGACGGUAUCUAACCAGAAAGCCACGGCUAACUACGUG